GGGGAGUCCGUCGCGCGCCUUCUCGUAAAGGGCGUGAGGAAAGUCCGGGCAACACAGAGCACCAUACUGUCUAACCGACAGCUAUCGGCAACGGUAGAGACAAUGUGACAGAAAACAACCGCCUUCGCCCUACCGGCGGAGGCAAGGGUGAAAAGGUGAGGCAAGAGCUCACCGGGUGCCACGGCGACAUGGCAUGCCGCACAUCUUAUGGGUUGCAAGGUCAAGUAUACCGGCAUCUAAGGGCUGCUCGUCCAUUGCCGGGGGGUAGACUGCUCAAGGCCCGCGGGCCAGAUAAAUGACGGACGCGGCGUGGUGGCUCGCUCUCGCGACAGUGCCCGCCGUACAUAACCCGGCUUACACCCCGACC
RNAcentral lists this RNase P RNA (367 nucleotides) under human gut metagenome. RNAcentral describes it as "Bacterial RNase P class A". It matches the Rfam family "Bacterial RNase P class A". From Rfam's summary of the family: Ribonuclease P (RNase P) is a ubiquitous endoribonuclease, found in archaea, bacteria and eukarya as well as chloroplasts and mitochondria. The record is from RNAcentral.